GCUCAGUAACACGUGGAUAACCUGCCCUUGGGUCUGGGAUAACCCCGGGAAACUGGGGAUAAUACUGGAUAACGCAUAUGUGCUGGAAUGCUUUAUGCGUAAAACGGAUUCGUCCGCCCAAGGAUGGGUCUGCGGCCUAUCAGGUAGUAGUGGGUGUAAUGUACCUACUAGCCAACAACGAGUACGGGUUGUGAGAGCAAGAGCCCGGAGAUGGAUUCUGAGACAUGAAUCCAGGCCCUACGGGGCGCAGCAGGCGCGAAAACUUUACAAUGCGGGAAACCGUGAUAAGGGAACACCGAGUGCCAGCAUCAUAUGCUGGCUGUCCAGAUGUGUAAACUACAUCUGUUAGCAAGGGCCGGGCAAGACCGGUGCCAGCCGCCGCGGUAACACCGGCGGCCCGAGUGGUGACCGUUAUUAUUGGGUCUAAAGGGUCCGUAGCCGGUCAGGUAAGUCCCUUGGGAAAUCUGGCAGCUCAACUGUCAGGCUGCUAGGGGAUACUGUUUGGCUUGGGACCGGGAGAGGUGAGAGGAACUCCCAGGGUAGGGGUGAAAUCCUAUAAUCCUGGGAGGACCACCUGUGGCGAAGGCGUCUAACUGGAACGAACCUGACGGUGAGUAACGAAAGCCAGGGGCGCGAACCGGAUUAGAUACCCGGGUAGUCCUGGGCCGUAAACGAUGUGGACUUGGUGUUGGGAUGGGCCUCGAGCUGCCCCAGUGCCGAAGGGAAGCUGUUAAGUCCACCGCCUGGGAAGUACGGUCGCAAGACUGAAACU
RNAcentral lists this ribosomal RNA (772 nucleotides) under uncultured methanogenic archaeon. RNAcentral describes it as "bacterial SSU rRNA". It matches the Rfam family "Archaeal small subunit ribosomal RNA", at positions 88 to 856 of the family's 1478-position model. The record is from RNAcentral. Lineage: Archaea; Methanobacteriati; Methanobacteriota.